This 1000-nucleotide ribosomal RNA is filed under the name uncultured bacterium. RNAcentral's name for it is "bacterial SSU rRNA". It matches the Rfam family "Bacterial small subunit ribosomal RNA", at positions 353 to 1371 of the family's 1533-position model. The record is from RNAcentral.
AGUGGGGAAUAUUGCACAAUGGGGGAAACCCUGAUGCAGCAACGCCGCGUGGAGGAUGACACAUUUCGGUGCGUAAACUCCUUUUAUAUGGGAAGAUAAUGACGGUACCAUAUGAAUAAGCACCGGCUAACUCCGUGCCAGCAGCCGCGGUAAUACGGAGGGUGCAAGCGUUACUCGGAAUCACUGGGCGUAAAGCGCGCGCAGGCGGCUAUUUAAGUUGGAUGUGAAAGCCUACGGCUCAACCGUAGAACUGCAUCCAAAACUAUUUAGCUAGAGUGUGGGAGAGGAAGAUGGAAUUAGUUGUGUAGGGGUAAAAUCCGUAGAGAUAACUAGGAAUACCAAAAGCGAAGGCAAUCUUCUGGAACACUACUGACGCUGAGGCGCGAAAGCGUGGGGAGCAAACAGGAUUAGAUACCCUGGUAGUCCACGCAGUAAACGAUGAAUGUUAGUCGUCGGGGGCCUAGUGUCUUCGGUGAUGCAGCUAACGCAUUAAACAUUCCGCCUGGGGAGUACGGUCGCAAGAUUAAAACUCAAAGGAAUAGACGGGGACCCGCACAAGUGGUGGAGCAUGUGGUUUAAUUCGAAGAUACGCGAAGAACCUUACCUAGCCUUGACAUAUUUAAGAAUCCGAUAGAGAUAUUGGAGUGCCUUCGGGAGCUUUCUUACAGGUGCUGCACGGCUGUCGUCAGCUCGUGUCGUGAGAUGUUGGGUUAAGUCCCGCAACGAGCGCAACCCUCGUCACUAGUUACUAACGGUUCGGCCGAGGACUCUAGUGAGACUGCCUUCGUAAGGAGGAGGAAGGUGAGGACGACGUCAAGUCAUCAUGGCCCUUACGGCUAGGGCAACACACGUGCUACAAUGGCCAGGACAGUGAGACGCGAUACCGUGAGGUGGAGCAAAUCUAUAAACCUGGUCUCAGUUCGGAUUGUAGUCUGCAACUCGACUACAUGAAGCUGGAAUCACUAGUAAUCGUAGAUCAGCUAUGCUACGGUGAAUACGU